UGCCAUUUAAAUAUUGUAGGUGCGUGAAUUUAGCAAAAUAAUCCAAUAUAGUCCAGUAGCCCAUAAUAGUGGAGCACUAUCUAUAGGACUGGCAAUGUGAGAAGUUUUUA
Long non-coding RNA from Octodon degus (degu), 110 nucleotides. RefSeq lists it as uncharacterized. The transcript has 3 exons. Lineage: Eukaryota; Metazoa; Chordata; Mammalia; Rodentia; Octodontidae. The record is from RefSeq and is a predicted model, not a curated record.